This 837-nucleotide ribosomal RNA is filed under the name uncultured bacterium. RNAcentral's name for it is "bacterial SSU rRNA". It matches the Rfam family "Bacterial small subunit ribosomal RNA", at positions 30 to 896 of the family's 1533-position model. The record is from RNAcentral.
UGAACGCUGGCAGCGUGGUUAAGACAUGCAAGUCGCACGGAUAUAGCAAUAUAUCAGUGGCGCACGGGUGAGUAAUGUAUCGCUAAUGUGCCCCGGACUCUGGGAUAGCUAUCCGAAAGGGUAGGUAAUACCAGAUAAUAUGACCCGGCCGCAUGGUCGGGUUCUCAAAGGUCCGCCGGUUUGGGAGCAGGCGAUAUCGUAUCAGCUUGGUGAGGUAACGGCUCACCAAGGCGACGACGCGUAGCCGGACUGAGAGGUCGGUCGGCCACAUCGGGACUGAGACACUGCCCGGACCCCUACGGGGGGCUGCAGUAACGAAUCUUCCCCAAUGCACGAAAGUGUGAGGGAGCGACGCUGCGUGGAGGAUGAAGUCCUUCGGGAUGUAAACUCCUGUCGGGAGCUACCAAGUUCUGAGGAGCUCCAAAGGAAGUGGCGGCUAACUCUGUGCCAGCAGCCGCGGUAAGACAGAGGCCUCGAGCGUUAGGCGGAAUCACUGGGCUUAAAGCGUGUGUAGGUGGAUUCUUAAGUGCCUUGUGAAAUCCCACGGCUUAACCGUGGAACUGCUGGGCAUACUGGGAAUCUUGAGCCAUCUAGGGGCAACUGGAACAGACGGUGGAGCGGUGAAAUGCGUAGAUAUCGUCUGGAACGCCAAUGGUGAAGACAGGUUGCUGGGGAUGUGCUGACACUGAGACACGAAAGCCAGGGGAGCAAACGGGAUUAGAUACCCCGGUAGUCCUGGCCCUAAACGAUGUCCACUAGAUCGCAGCACUUUUGACGGUGUUGUGGUCGAAGUAAAAAUGUUAAGUGGACCGCCUGGGAAGUACGGUCGCAAAGCUA